This 496-nucleotide ribosomal RNA is filed under the name uncultured bacterium. RNAcentral's name for it is "partial 16S ribosomal RNA". It matches the Rfam family "Bacterial small subunit ribosomal RNA", at positions 29 to 507 of the family's 1533-position model. The record is from RNAcentral.
AAUGAACGCUGGCGGCGUGCCUAAUACAUGCAAGUCGAGCGAACGGACGAGAAGCUUGCUUCUCUGAUGUUAGCGGCGGACGGGUGAGUAACACGUGGAUAACCUACCUAUAAGACUGGGAUAACUUCGGGAAACCGGAGCUAAUACCGGAUAAUAUUUUGAACCGCAUGGUUCAAAAGUGAAAGACGGUCUUGCUGUCACUUAUAGAUGGAUCCGCGCUGCAUUAGCUAGUUGGUAAGGUAACGGCUUACCAAGGCAACGAUGCAUAGCCGACCUGAGAGGGUGAUCGGCCACACUGGAACUGAGACACGGUCCAGACUCCUACGGGAGGCAGCAGUAGGGAAUCUUCCGCAAUGGGCGAAAGCCUGACGGAGCAACGCCGCGUGAGUGAUGAAGGUCUUCGGAUCGUAAAACGCUGUUAUUAGGGAAGAACAUAUGUGUAAGUAACUGUGCACAUCUUGACGGUACCUAUCAGAAAGCCACGGCUAACUACGUG